CCUACGGGAGGCAGCAGUGAGGAAUAUUGGUCAAUGGGCGAGAGCCUGAACCAGCCAAGUCGCGUGAGGGAGUACUGCCCUAUGGGUUGUAAACCUCUUUUGUCGGGGAGCAAAAGCCGGACGUGUCCGGCUGUGAGAGUACCCGAAGAAAAAGCAUCGGCUAACUCCGUGCCAGCAGCCGCGGUAAUACGGAGGAUGCGAGCGUUAUCCGGAUUUAUUGGGUUUAAAGGGGGCGCAGGCGGAUUGUUAAGUCAGCGGUAAAAUCGUGGGGCUCAACCCCAUCCAGCCGUUGAAACUGGGGAUCUAGAGUGUGCGAGAGGUAUGCGGAAUGCGUGGUGUAGCGGUGAAAUGCAUAGAUAUCACGCAGAACCCCGAUUGCGAAGGCAGCAUACCGGUGCACAACUGACGCUCAGGCACGAAAGCGUGGGUAUCGAACAGGAUUAGAUACCCCUGUAGUC
RNAcentral lists this ribosomal RNA (458 nucleotides) under uncultured bacterium. Its description in RNAcentral is "partial 16S ribosomal RNA". It matches the Rfam family "Bacterial small subunit ribosomal RNA", at positions 338 to 795 of the family's 1533-position model. The record is from RNAcentral.